AAAAAGUCUUUGUACUCUUCAGGGGCAAAAUCAUAAUUUUACCAAAACCCUGAUUUAAUAGUAUCAUUUGGUAGAACAAAAGAUUUGUGAUCUAUUGGCGAAAAUUUCAUUAUUUUUGGACUUGUAUUUUUGAAGUUAUGCAUGUUUGAAAAUCAUGAGUCGACUCAUGAGUCAGCUCAUGGCACAAUGAGCAGUUUGGCACGCUGAAUUUUUUGCUUGGCACGGCCUGUGAGUCGACUCAUGAGUCGACUCUCAAGGCAUGAGUCGACUCAUGAGUCGACUCCUGCGGUUUUAGGCCAAAAGUCAUAGAAACCUGUUUUCUGGUUGUUGCAACAGAGGUCGACUCAUGAGUCGACCCCUGAGGCAU
This 367-nucleotide long non-coding RNA is filed under the name Elaeis guineensis (African oil palm). Its description in RNAcentral is "long non-coding RNA (EGUI_LNC061989)". The record is from RNAcentral. Lineage: Eukaryota; Viridiplantae; Streptophyta; Magnoliopsida; Arecales; Arecaceae.